UACGAAGGGGGCUAGCGUUGUUCGGAAUCACUGGGCGUAAAGCGCACGUAGGCGGUUCUUUAAGUCAGGGGUGAAAUCCCGAGGCUCAACCUCGGAACUGCCUUUGAUACUGGGGAUCUCGAGUCCGGGAGAGGUGAGUGGAACUGCGAGUGUAGAGGUGAAAUUCGUAGAUAUUCGCAAGAACACCAGUGGCGAAGGCGGCUCACUGGCCCGGAACUGACGCUGAGGUGCGAAGGCCAGGGGAGCAAACGGG
RNAcentral lists this ribosomal RNA (253 nucleotides) under uncultured bacterium. RNAcentral describes it as "partial 16S ribosomal RNA". It matches the Rfam family "Bacterial small subunit ribosomal RNA", at positions 524 to 776 of the family's 1533-position model. The record is from RNAcentral.